RNAcentral lists this long non-coding RNA (973 nucleotides) under Homo sapiens (human). RNAcentral describes it as "HSALNT0386792". The record is from RNAcentral. Lineage: Eukaryota; Metazoa; Chordata; Mammalia; Primates; Hominidae.
CAGCCUCCCAAAGUGCUGGGACUACAGGCGUGAGCUGCUGCGCCCGGCUUCUAAUUGGGUUCUGAUCCCCUCCUCCAGUCCCCACCCUGGAAAGUAGCUACACUCAUCUCAUUUGCUGAUGAUGCGAGAGUGUGAUUGGGGUUGGGAAGGUGGUGAGCAGUACAAUAGAUGUUGUUUGAUCCUCUCUGGCCUGACAACACAUUUUGUGAGCUACUUGGUGUUCUAAUUCUUCCCCCAACUCUCAGAUCAAAAGUACAGCCUGUACCAUUGAUGUACCACUCCCCGUGCAGAUAAGAUAGUAAACUUAGAAGAAGUCAAGUAGAGACAACCCGUUUCUUUUACACAUAGUGUGUUUCUGAAAAUGUAUUUUUUCUGGAGGUCCAAAAUGCAAGUCCAUUGAUAGUCCUGUGGAUUUUUAAGUAAGCUGACCUAAUUGCUUACAUGUAAACUGAGACCCUCUUGAGAGUAAAAAGGGGCAGGUGUUAACAAUGAUGCCCAGGCUAGGGGAGUAAUCAGGUUGUCCAGGGAGCACCUAAGAUACAGGGUACCCUCAGUUAUUAUAUGAGGGAGAGUCCCUUUCCUCAGAGAACUAAAAUUAUAAGUUAGAAAACAAUUACACCUCUACAUUUUAGGCAUGAUAAUUGAAAACAUUUGGCCGGGCAUGGUGGCUCACGCCUGUAAUCCUAACACUCUGGAAGGCCAAGGCAAGCGGAUCAUUUGAGGUCAGGGGUUUGAGACCAGCCUGGCCAACAUGGUGAAACCCCUUCUCUACUAAAAAUACAAAAAUUAGGCCGGUUGCAGUGGCUCACGCCUGUAAUCCCAGCACUUUGGGAGGCUGAGGCAGGCAGAUCACCUGAGGUCGGGCGUUCGAGACCAGCCUCACCAACAUGGAGAAACCCUGUCUCUACUAAAAAUACAAAAUUAGCCGGGCGUGGUGGCACAUGCCUGUAAUCCCAGCUACUAGGGAGGCUGA